UGUAAGCGUAUACCAAAGUUGUUGCAGUUAAAACGCUCGUAGUCGGAAUUUGGCAGUUCCGGAUGUGUGCACGUCGUGUGCGCACUUCGCGGGGAUUGCUUUUGUGGUCUUGCGUAGGAUGAGGCACUUUUAUUAGUGAACGUCCUCACGCAACCACUUUUUACUGUGAGAAAAACAGAGUGCUCAAAGCAGGCACUUGCCGUGAAUGUAUUAGCAUGGAAUAAUAGAAUAGGACUUGGUUCUAUUUUGUUGGUUUGUUGGGACUGAGUAAUGAUUAAGAGGGACAGUUGGGGGCAUUUGUAUUUCGGUGCUAGAGGUGAAAUUCUUAGAUUACCGAAAGACAAACUGCUGCGAAAGCGUCUGCCAAGGAUGUUUUCAUUGA
RNAcentral lists this ribosomal RNA (382 nucleotides) under uncultured eukaryote. Its description in RNAcentral is "partial 18S ribosomal RNA". It matches the Rfam family "Eukaryotic small subunit ribosomal RNA", at positions 592 to 976 of the family's 1831-position model. The record is from RNAcentral.